AUGACGUCGUUUUCUCUCUCCUGCCUCUUUUUCCAGCUGACAGCUCAGCGUCCGUCCGGCCCGUCCUCUCCGUCAGGAUCAGACACGACUCCUCAGUGUCUCCUCCUGGAGAGGCGCGGUGAUGCUGGAGCUGAGGCUCAGCAGUACCAAGAGCCGACCUCCCCCCGCGACCCUGAACUCACCCAGCCGGGGACUUCGCCUGACCCCCCCGUCAUUGGAGCUGGCCACGGCAAAGCUCAAAGCCCCGCAGGGAGCCGUGUGUCCUCGCCGUCCUCGCCUCGCUCGCCUCUCAGCCCCGUCCCACCCCGCGACCGCCUCUCCCCCUCCACCAGCCUGCAAAAGGCUUCCAGUAACGGAGCUUUGUCAAAUCUGAAAGACCCCGCCGAUGAUUCCCCUCGCAGCGCGACAGAGCCUCAGCUCAAGGAGGAAGAAAACUCUGCCGCGAAACAGCCAAUCGGCUCUUCCUCCAUCCGGAAAGACCCCACCCGCAGGCAGAGUCGAAUCCCUGUGCUCGAACCCUGCACCGCCACCCCCGGUUCUGCCAAGGAAAAGCUCCUGCAGAAAAAAGCUAGUCACCACGGCCCGGCGCCCUCCCCCACCGCCUCGCCCUCGCUCUCCGAUAAGCGGAGCGGCAUCAUAGCCACCCUCGCCCGGGAUCCGCUGUCCUCCGCCUCCGACCGCUCUCAGGAUGAGGACUCCCUCAUGGGCUCCCGCUCCGACCGACAGGUGGACGAUGCUCAGUCCCUGUCCUCCUCCUCCAGCCCCCUCUCCCGCAAGAGCAGGAUCCCCCGCCCCGUUCAGUCCGCCGCCUCUGCCGAGCAGCUGGCCACCCACUUCCUGCCAAGUCCGCCCCCGGGGAGGCCACCAAGCCGUCCAGGAGCGGAGGGCAGGCUGCGGCGCUAUCGCAUCAGAGUCGGCAGCACAGGUGAUGCUGACAUCCUGUCGUGCCUGGCUCAGCUAAUGCACAGCUCCCGCGGCUCCCCGGUUCACCAGCGCUCCUCGUCGCAGCACGGCGGCUCCAGGAUGGGAAUCGGCAGCCUGACCGGCUCCCCGCACCACCAGCGCAGCUCCAGCGGCUCCCCGCGCAGCUCCUCCUCCCUGCAGCGCUCCGUCAGCUCUUCGCCGUCCCACCACGAGCACCGAGGCGGCGCGGGAGGCGCCUGCUUGGGUCGCAGUCACUCGCCCCCCAGCUUCUCGGGAUCGCCGCCUCCCCGCCGCUUCUACCUUCACCACCAGGAGACGUGCUGCAGCCGGCAGGCGCGCGCAGCCGCCUUCCAUCUGUCCAGGGGGAAGGCUGGCUGCAGCCGAGAGGGCAAGUGCUCCUCCAAGCUGAGCAGAUAG
This 1341-nucleotide long non-coding RNA is filed under the name Oryzias sinensis (Chinese medaka). RNAcentral describes it as "lncRNA (ENSOSIG00000019807.1)". The record is from RNAcentral. Lineage: Eukaryota; Metazoa; Chordata; Actinopteri; Beloniformes; Adrianichthyidae.